Molecule: long non-coding RNA, 1360 nt
Organism: Limanda limanda (common dab)
Lineage: Eukaryota; Metazoa; Chordata; Actinopteri; Pleuronectiformes; Pleuronectidae
Exons: 3
Source: RefSeq, a predicted model, not a curated record
ACUGGAGCUGGACGAGCUGGGAAAUCAGAUCGUCUGGCACGACGGCAGGAGGAUUCUGCAGUUCUGGAAGAGCAGCCAAAUUUCACUGGAGAUAUCCAUCAGCACAAGCAGUUGUUCCACGCUGGGCGGGGAGGGGAGUUCUCAGGAAGGAAUGGAGCUGGAAGAGCUGUUACUACGGCAGGGAGAGCCUGAGACAAACGGAGAUGGAUGGAGUGAUGGAGGAGCACAGGAGGAGGCCGAAGUCGUUCGUGAAGAGCAGCAUAUCGCUGCACUGUAAACCCGAAUAAGGGCUAGAGUGGUCGUCCUCCAACAAGAAGGUUGGCCCCAAGGACUAGAACAUGGACAUGAAAAAGAGUGGAACCUGCAGGAGUUUGACAUUAUCUCAUCCAGUGUGAAGGAAAUAUGAUAAAACUGUAAACUCAGUAUUAUAAAUGUUUAUCUCAUCGAGGGUGAAGGAUAUAUGAAAAAACUGUUAGCUCAGUAUUAUAAAAGUUUAUCUCAUCGAGUGUGAUGGAAAUGUGAAAAAACUGUAAGCUCAGGAUGAUACAUAUAUUUAUCUCAUAGUGUGAAGGAUAUAUGAAAAAACUGUAAGCUCAGUAUUAUAAAUGUUCACCUCUUCGAGUGUGAUGAAAAUGUGAAAAAACUGUAAGCUCAGGAUGAUACAUAUAUUUAUCUCCUAGUGUGAAGGAUAUAUGAAAAAACUGUAAGCUCAGUAUUAUAAAUGUUCAUCUCAUUCAGUGUGAUGGAAAUCUGAAAAUACAAGAGGCUGGAAACACCAAAGUUAUCUACGUUAACUUAAUAAGGGGUUUUCUGCAGAAAGGAUCGACACACCGAGAGUCCUAAGGUUCUCAGAGUGAAGUCAAACACAAUGAUCUUAUAUAGGGAACUAAGGCUAUCUCUCUCAGCCAAUCCAGACUGGUUCUGUAGGCGCAGGGAGAGAUCUAUCUAAACACAGACAACUGAUUUACAUGUGUUUCCUUUGGAGAUAAGCACACAUACAUUCAGUUCUUUGGGGGUCUAAAGGGUCUACCAGUUUUCAGGUCAUACACAGCUCAGACUAUUAAAACAUUCCAGGUCAUAAACUAUUUGAACAGUUUGUAUAUGCAUGUAGAAAGGUCAUAAAAGCCUUUAGACAGAGCUACAAAACUUACUUUCCAACUACAACAUAGGUUUUACACAUACUUAGUUAAUUUUUCCUUUACACCAGUGUUUUCUAUGAAAGUGAAAAGACUAAAAAAAACCUGAUGUGUAAAUGUUGAAAUGUUUUAUAUCCAUCCAAUGUUUUUUUUUUAUAAAAAAAGACAUAAAACCUGAUGUGUAAAUGUUGAAAUGUUUAUUCAUAAAAGUACAGCAUAUGCAA